Molecule: ribosomal RNA, 422 nt
Filed under: uncultured Eubacterium sp.
Lineage: Bacteria; Bacillati; Bacillota; Clostridia; Eubacteriales; Eubacteriaceae
Description: bacterial SSU rRNA
Rfam family: Bacterial small subunit ribosomal RNA
Source: RNAcentral
UGGGGAAUAUUGCACAAUGGGGGAAACCCUGAUGCAGCGACGCCGCGUGGAGGAAGAAGGUCUUCGGAUUGUAAACUCCUGUUGUUGGGGAAGAUAAUGACGGUACCCAACAAGGAAGUGACGGCUAACUACGUGCCAGCAGCCGCGGUAAAACGUAGGUCACAAGCGUUGUCCGGAAUUACUGGGUGUAAAGGGAGCGCAGGCGGGGGAGCAAGUCAGCUGUGAAAUCUAUGGGCUUAACCCAUAAACUGCAGUUGAAACUGUUCUUCUUGAGUGAAGUAGAGGUUGGCGGAAUUCCGAGUGUAGCGGUGAAAUGCGUAGAUAUUCGGAGGAACACCGGUGGCGAAGGCGGCCAACUGGGCUUUUACUGACGCUGAGGCUCGAAAGUGUGGGGAGCAAACAGGAUUAGAUACCCUGGUAGU